UAGCAAGGCUUCUAUCGUUUG
Molecule: non-coding RNA, 21 nt
Filed under: Caenorhabditis elegans
Lineage: Eukaryota; Metazoa; Nematoda; Chromadorea; Rhabditida; Rhabditidae
Source: RNAcentral